RNAcentral lists this long non-coding RNA (351 nucleotides) under Marmota monax (woodchuck). The record is from RNAcentral. Lineage: Eukaryota; Metazoa; Chordata; Mammalia; Rodentia; Sciuridae.
GGAAUUUUGUGCAGAACCACCGCUUCCGGAACCUUGUGUUACCGGAACUAGGCGCGGAAGUUCCCUUCGUUGCCACCCGACGCAACUCUGAAGUUACGCUUCCGGUAAGGGAAAAUGGCCGCGGCCGUUCAAAACUCACGUGUGAGUGCGGGGAAAAAGCUGAAAAAUUCCUUAAAGAGAAAAAAGAAGAUGAAAAUGGUAGCCAGGGCUGUGACAUCGAAGCUGGAAGAUGAGGGCAAAGACGCUUCCGACAGUGAAGGUAAUGUAUUAAGGCUGAGCUUCGGCGUCUGAGAGGAAACACUAGGCUCAGUUCCCGGGAAGCCCGAUGUCAGUGUGCUUGGUGGAAGCCGC